Molecule: ribosomal RNA, 536 nt
Filed under: uncultured Glomus
Lineage: Eukaryota; Fungi; Glomeromycota; Glomeromycetes; Glomerales; Glomeraceae
Description: SSU rRNA
Rfam family: Eukaryotic small subunit ribosomal RNA
Source: RNAcentral
GGAGGGCAAGUCUGGUGCCAGCAGCCGCGUAAUUCCAGCUCCAAUAGCGUAUAUUAAAGUUGUUGCAGUUAAAAGCUCGUAGUUGAAUUUCGAGACCGGUUUAUUGGUCGUGCUUUGUACGUACUGGUAUUAUUGGUUUCUCCUUUCUGACGAAUCUUAAUGCCAUUAAUUUGGUGUUUUGGGAAUCAGGACUGUUACUUUGAAAAAUUAGAGUGUUUAAAGCAGGCUCACGCUUGAAUACAUUAGCAUGGAAUAACAAAAUGGACGUUUGAAUUUUAUUUUGUUGGUUUUUAGGAUCGACGUAAUGAUUAAUAGGGAUAGUUGGGGGCAUUAGUAUUCAAUUGUCAGAGGUGAAAUUCUUGGAUUUAUUGAAGACUAACUACUGCGAAAGCAUUUGCCAAGGAUGUUUUCAUUAAUCAAGAACGAAAGUUAGGGGGAUCGAAGACGAUCAGAUACCGUCGUAGUCUUAACCAUAAACUAUGCCGACUAGGGAUCGGAUGAUGUUAAUUUUUUAAUGACUCAUUCGGCGCCUUACG